GUAUUUUGAUUUCCUGUCUCUUUGUGUGCACAUCAACCGAGACUCUCCAACAUAAGGAUCCUGAAAUUUAGCAGGAUUAAGUUUCAGUAACUUUCCUACUUCUUUUCCCUUUCUCUUUGCAAAGGGAGGGAGUGUAGGAUCAGGAUUUCAUGGAUGGGACGGGAAUUCCAGGGACAUGAGUAUAGUCCUUACUGACUCUACUGUGAUCUUAGUGUGUUCUGGAGCUCAGAAAUCCCCCAGGCAAGACUUUCAAGUUGUUUCCUUCCGUCACGGAGCAGAGAAGCGCUGCUGAGGCCUGCCGAGCGUACAGCUCGUUUGAAGGAGGAGACCAUUAUCUGAAAUCUGUUGCUUUAGAGGUUCUGCUGCUAAUUCCUCUGGAAGCCAUCCCUCCAUCUGAAGUCCCCUC
This 406-nucleotide long non-coding RNA is filed under the name Numida meleagris (helmeted guineafowl). RNAcentral describes it as "lncRNA (ENSNMEG00000007291.1)". The record is from RNAcentral. Lineage: Eukaryota; Metazoa; Chordata; Aves; Galliformes; Numididae.